GCAUCGAUGAAGAACGCAGCGAAAUGCGAUAAGUAGUGUGAAUUGCAGAAUUCAGUGAAUCAUCGAAUCUUUGAACGCACAUUGCGCCCUUUGGUAUUCCAAAGGGCAUGCCUGUUCGAGCGUCAUUUGUACCCUCAAGCUUUGCUUGGUGUUGGGCGUCUUGUCUCUAGCUUUGCUGGAGACUCGCCUUAAAGUAAUUGGCAGCCGGCCUACUGGUUUCGGAGCGCAGCACAAGUCGCACUCUCUAUCAGCAAAGGUCUAGCAUCCAUUAAGCCUUUUUUCAACUUUUGACCUCGGAUCAGGUAGGGAUACCCGCUGAACUUAAGCAUAUCAAUAAGCGGAGGA
RNAcentral lists this ribosomal RNA (345 nucleotides) under uncultured Alternaria. RNAcentral's name for it is "eukaryotic LSU rRNA". The stretch from base 1 to 125 matches the Rfam family "5.8S ribosomal RNA", at positions 30 to 154 of the family's 154-position model. Lineage: Eukaryota; Fungi; Ascomycota; Dothideomycetes; Pleosporales; Pleosporaceae. The record is from RNAcentral.